CCUACGGGUGGCUGUAGUAGGGAAUCUUCCACAAUGGGCGAAAGCCUGAUGGAGCAACGCCGCGUGGGUGAAGAAGGUCUUCGGAUCGUAAAACCCUGUUGUUAGAGAAGAAAGUGCGUGAGAGUAACUGUUCACGUUUCGACGGUAUCUUACCAGAAAGCCACGGCUAACUACGUGCCAGCAGCCGCGGUAAUACGUAGGUGGCAAGCGUUAUCCGGAUUGAUUGGGCGUAAAGGGAACGCAGGCGGUCUUGUAAGUCAGAUGUGAAAGCCUACGGCUUAACCGGAGUAGUGCAUUGGAAACUGGGAGACUUGAGUGCAGAAGAGGUGGGUGGAACUCCAGGUGUAGCGGUGAAAUGCGUAGAGAUAUAGAAGAACACCAGUGGCGAAAGCGGCUCUCUGG
Molecule: ribosomal RNA, 402 nt
Filed under: uncultured bacterium
Lineage: Bacteria
Description: partial 16S ribosomal RNA
Rfam family: Bacterial small subunit ribosomal RNA
Source: RNAcentral